Molecule: ribosomal RNA, 796 nt
Filed under: uncultured Methanosarcinaceae archaeon
Lineage: Archaea; Methanobacteriati; Methanobacteriota; Methanomicrobia; Methanosarcinales; Methanosarcinaceae
Description: bacterial SSU rRNA
Rfam family: Archaeal small subunit ribosomal RNA
Source: RNAcentral
ACUGCUCAGUAACACGUGGAUAACCUGCCCUUGGGACCGGCAUAACCCCGGGAAACUGGGGAUAAUUCCGGAUAACGCAUAUAUGCUGGAAUGCUUUAUGCGUGAAAUGGAUUCGUCUGCCCAAGGAUGGGUCUGCGGCCUAUCAGGUAGUAGUGGGUGUAAUGGACCUACUAGCCUACAACGGGUACGGGUUGUGAGAGCAAGAGCCCGGAGAUGGAUUCUGAGACAUGAAUCCAGGCCCUACGGGGCGCAGCAGGCGCGAAAACUUUACAAUGCGGGAAACCGUGAUAAGGGGACACCGAGUGCCAGCAUCAUAUGCUGGCUGUCCAGGUGUGUAAAAUACACCUGUUAGCAAGGGCCGGGCAAGACCGGUGCCAGCCGCCGCGGUAACACCGGCGGCCCGAGUGGUGAUCGUGAUUAUUGGGUCUAAAGGGUCCGUAGCCGGUUUGGUCAGUCCUCCGGGAAAUCUGACAGCUCAACUGUUAGGCUUUCGGGGGAUACUGCCAGACUUGGAACCGGGAGAGGUAAGAGGUACUACAGGGGUAGGAGUGAAAUCUUGUAAUCCCUGUGGGACCACCUGUGGCGAAGGCGUCUUACCAGAACGGGUUCGACGGUGAGGGACGAAAGCUGGGGGCACGAACCGGAUUAGAUACCCGGGUAGUCCCAGCCGUAAACGAUGCUCGCUAGGUGUCAGGCAUGGCGCGACCGUGUCUGGUGCCGCAGGGAAGCCGUGAAGCGAGCCACCUGGGAAGUACGGCCGCAAGGCUGAAACUUAAAGGAAUUGGCGGGGGAGCAC